AUUGGGCUUUUUAUUUAAUGGGCUUUAAAUGAUAGAUUAUUAUAGCCCAUUGAAUAAAACCCUAAAACCAUCUCUAUUGAGGUAUCUCAUAAGAGUUUCUCACAAUUAAAAAAAUAAAAAUAAUGAAAAUGAAGGAGAGAGAGUGUAGAAAGUUUCUCACUUGAGUCAUGACAAUUCUCAUCUUACUAUUGGUUCAAUUUUUUAACAAAA
Molecule: small RNA, 210 nt
Filed under: Arabidopsis thaliana (thale cress)
Lineage: Eukaryota; Viridiplantae; Streptophyta; Magnoliopsida; Brassicales; Brassicaceae
Description: ATSL135880
Source: RNAcentral